RNAcentral lists this ribosomal RNA (1552 nucleotides) under Staphylococcus aureus. Its description in RNAcentral is "16S ribosomal RNA". It matches the Rfam family "Bacterial small subunit ribosomal RNA". The record is from RNAcentral. Lineage: Bacteria; Bacillati; Bacillota; Bacilli; Caryophanales; Staphylococcaceae.
UUUAUGGAGAGUUUGAUCCUGGCUCAGGAUGAACGCUGGCGGCGUGCCUAAUACAUGCAAGUCGAGCGAACGGACGAGAAGCUUGCUUCUCUGAUGUUAGCGGCGGACGGGUGAGUAACACGUGGAUAACCUACCUAUAAGACUGGGAUAACUUCGGGAAACCGGAGCUAAUACCGGAUAAUAUUUUGAACCGCAUGGUUCAAAAGUGAAAGACGGUCUUGCUGUCACUUAUAGAUGGAUCCGCGCUGCAUUAGCUAGUUGGUAAGGUAACGGCUUACCAAGGCAACGAUGCAUAGCCGACCUGAGAGGGUGAUCGGCCACACUGGAACUGAGACACGGUCCAGACUCCUACGGGAGGCAGCAGUAGGGAAUCUUCCGCAAUGGGCAAAAGCCUGACGGAGCAACGCCGCGUGAGUGAUGAAGGUCUUCGGAUCGUAAAACUCUGUUAUUAGGGAAGAACAUAUGUGUAAGUAACUGUGCACAUCUUGACGGUACCUAAUCAGAAAGCCACGGCUAACUACGUGCCAGCAGCCGCGGUAAUACGUAGGUGGCAAGCGUUAUCCGGAAUUAUUGGGCGUAAAGCGCGCGUAGGCGGUUUUUUAAGUCUGAUGUGAAAGCCCACGGCUCAACCGUGGAGGGUCAUUGGAAACUGGAAAACUUGAGUGCAGAAGAGGAAAGUGGAAUUCCAUGUGUAGCGGUGAAAUGCGCAGAGAUAUGGAGGAACACCAGUGGCGAAGGCGACUUUCUGGUCUGUAACUGACGCUGAUGUGCGAAAGCGUGGGGAUCAAACAGGAUUAGAUACCCUGGUAGUCUACGCCGUAAACGAUGAGUGCUAAGUGUUAGGGGGUUUCCGCCCCUUAGUGCUGCAGCUAACGCAUUAAGCACUCCGCCUGGGGAGUACGACCGCAAGGUUGAAACUCAAAGGAAUUGACGGGGACCCGCACAAGCGGUGGAGCAUGUGGUUUAAUUCGAAGCAACGCGAAGAACCUUACCAAAUCUUGACAUCCUUUGACAACUCUAGAGAUAGAGCUUUCCCCUUCGGGGGACAAAGUGACAGGUGGUGCAUGGUUGUCGUCAGCUCGUGUCGUGAGAUGUUGGGUUAAGUCCCGCAACGAGCGCAACCCUUAAGCUUAGUUGCCAUCAUUAAGUUGGGCACUCUAAGUUGACUGCCGGUGACAAACCGGAGGAAGGUGGGGAUGACGUCAAAUCAUCAUGCCCCUUAUGAUUUGGGCUACACACGUGCUACAAUGGACAAUACAAAGGGCAGCGAAACCGCGAGGUCAAGCAAAUCCCAUAAAGUUGUUCUCAGUUCGGAUUGUAGUCUGCAACUCGACUACAUGAAGCUGGAAUCGCUAGUAAUCGUAGAUCAGCAUGCUACGGUGAAUACGUUCCCGGGUCUUGUACACACCGCCCGUCACACCACGAGAGUUUGUAACACCCGAAGCCGGUGGAGUAACCUUUUAGGAGCUAGCCGUCGAAGGUGGGACAAAUGAUUGGGGUGAAGUCGUAACAAGGUAGCCGUAUCGGAAGGUGCGGCUGGAUCACCUCCUUU